UUGAAAGGGAAACGAUUGAAGUCAGUCGUACCGACGAGAAAUCAGCUUUUCGAAUGUGCAUUUGUGGGCGUAUGAGAUCUUCAUUGUUUGCAAUAUGUAUGUUUCUUUGGUGUACUUUUUCGUAUGGUAGGUCAAUGUCGGUUUUGAUCGCCAUAAAAUGAUCGGAGGAAUGUAGCUUCGGCUUCGGUUGAAGUGUUAUAGCCUUUGGUAAAUGUGGUGAUUAAGACCGAGGAUUGCAACGAAUACCUUUUAGGCUAUCCGUCUGACCUCUGAAAGUUGCUUGGGUGCCGAAAGCUUGUUUACGGUCAUUUAAGUUGACGGUCAAUAGGUUAGAACGUGAUUACAUUCGUUAAGGAUGUUGACGUA
This 366-nucleotide ribosomal RNA is filed under the name uncultured Glomeromycotina. RNAcentral describes it as "LSU rRNA". The record is from RNAcentral. Lineage: Eukaryota; Fungi; Glomeromycota.